AACGAACGCUGGCGGCAGGCUUAACACAUGCAAGUCGAACGCCCCGCAAGGGGAGUGGCAGACGGGUGAGUAACGCGUGGGAAUCUACCGUACCCUACGGAACAACAGUUGGAAACGACUGCUAAUACCGUAUACGCCCUACGGGGGAAAGAUUUAUCGGGGUAUGAUGAGCCCGCGUUGGAUUAGCUAGUUGGUGGGGUAAGGGCCUACCAAGGCGACGAUCCAUAGCUGGUCCGAGAGGAUGAUCAGCCACAUUGGGACUGAGACACGGCCCAAACUCCUACGGGAGGCAGCAGUGGGGAAUAUUGGACAAUGGGCGCAAGCCUGAUCCAGCCAUGCCGCGUGAGUGAUGAAGGUCUUAGGAUUGUAAAGCUCUUUCACCGAUGAAGAUAAUGACGGUAGUCGGAGAAGAAGCCCCGGCUAACUUCGUGCCAGCCGCCGCGGUAA
Molecule: ribosomal RNA, 447 nt
Filed under: uncultured bacterium
Lineage: Bacteria
Description: partial 16S ribosomal RNA
Rfam family: Bacterial small subunit ribosomal RNA
Source: RNAcentral